AUUGAACGCUGGCGGCAUGCUUUACACAUGCAAGUCGAACGGCAGCAUAGGUGCUUGCACCUGAUGGCGAGUGGCGAACGGGUGAGUAAUAUAUCGGAACAUGUCCGGAAGUGGGGGAUAACGUAGCGAAAGUUACGCUAAUACCGCAUAUGCCCUGAUGGGGAAAGGGGGGGAUCGUAAGACCUACCGCUUUCGGAGGGGCCGAUAUCGGAUUAGCUAGUAGGUGAGGUAAAGGCUCACCUAGGCGACGAUCCGUAGCUGGUCUGAGAGGACGACCAGCCACACUGGGACUGAGACACGGCCCAGACUCCUACGGGAGGCAGCAGUGGGGAAUUUUGGACAAUGGGCGCAAGCCUGAUCCAGCCAUGCCGCGUGAGUGAAGAAGGCCUUCGGGUUGUAAAGCUCUUUCAGCUGGAAAGAAAUCGUAUCUAUUAAUACUAGGUGCGGAUGACGGUACCAGCAGAAGAAGCACCGGCUAACUACGUGCCAGCAGCCGCGGUAA
Molecule: ribosomal RNA, 502 nt
Filed under: uncultured bacterium
Lineage: Bacteria
Description: partial 16S ribosomal RNA
Rfam family: Bacterial small subunit ribosomal RNA
Source: RNAcentral